CCCGGCUGCGGUGGAGCCGCUCCCGAUCCCGGCGCUCCCGGUCGUGUUCCCGGACCCUCGGAGCGGGCUGGGGCUCUGCGGAGGGAGGAUGAGGAGGAUGCGGAUAUGGAGGUUUUGGGAUCCCUGCAGGGACAACUCCCGUGGGCCCCAGGAGCUGCUGGAACCCCCUUUGGCCCCCGGUGAGGACACGGGGCAGCAGGAGUGGCCCCCGGUGAGGACACUGGGCAGGAGUGGCACCUGUCCCCUCCCGAGGCUGGAUUGUCCCUGGAUGGUUCCUCUGAGCCUCGCCUGGGCUUUGGACGCUCCCUUCUGUCCGCAGCUGGAAUGGCAGGGCUGUUCCUCCCGCUCCUCCCAAAUCCCGUGGAUUUACUGCCUCUGGCUGCUUUUCCAUCGUCCUGCUGGGACUGGCUCUGGCACAGGAAUCUCCGAGGGACAGAUGGGGACCAGCAGCACCUGCAGGCUGCAAUUCCCUCCUUUUCUGGGCUGCUCUGAGCGUGCUGGCUCUGCAGGAGGAAGGAUUCCAUGCACUGCUGGAGGACAAUUCCUGCUGCUCUGAUGCUUCUCAGCUUCCCAGGAGGGAAAUCCUGGUGAAGGGAUUUUUCAGAAAAUGUGAAUUUGACACAGCCGGGGCAUCCCUGGAUCUCCCCUGGGCCAUCCUCGGAUCCUGCAGGUCCUCUUGCACCUCUGAGGUUUUUGUGGUGACAUCUGAGGGCAGCUCUGCACGCCCGUGGGACAUUUUGGGGUUAAAGGAGCAGAGUUUGGGCGGUCUCGUCCAGCCUGACCCCAGCGCUCGGCAUCCCCCGCAGGCUCAGGGUCCCUGCUGGAGGCUCGGGGUGAGGGACAGAAGGACAGCCAGGAGGAGAGGAUGGACACUGCAGCUGGGACAGACAGACAGCCAGGAGCAGCUCCCAAGGACAGCAUGGACACUGCAGCUGGGACAGACAGACAGCCAGAACAGCCAGAACAGCUCCUGGGGACAGGAUGGACACUGCAUCUGGAGCAGAGGGACAGAAGGACAGCCAGGAGGAGAGGAUGGACACUGCAGCUGGGACAGACAGACAGCCAGGAGCAGCUCCCAAGGACAGCAUGGACACUGCAGCUGGGACAGAAGGACAGCCAGGACAGCCAGAACAGCUCCUGGGGACAGGAUGGACCCUGCAUCUGGAGCAGAGGGACAGAAGGACAGCCAGGACAGCCAGAACAGCUCCUGGGGACAGGAUCGACACUGCAUCUGGAGCAGAGGGACAGAAGGACAGCCAGGACAGCCAGAACAGCUCCUGAGGACAGGAUGGACACUGCAUCUGGAGCAGAGGGACAGAAGGACAGCCAGGACAGCCAGGACCAUCUGCCAAGGACAGGACAGACAGUGCUGGGCUGCACAUCCCUGCAGGAGCUGAGCUCCUCCCCGUGGCACUGACAGUGCCCAGGAGCAAUUUCUUUGGGAAUUUGGGAAUUUUCCUUGUGGAUCCUGGCCAUGGAUGGAUGCUGAAGAGCUCCUGGCUCGAGCAGGAGCUCAGUGCUUUUCUCUGGCAAGGACCAAGCCCUUGCCUGCUUUCCAGUGGAUAUUUUUGGUUUUUAUUCUUGCUGGUUUUGGGGGUUUGGGUGUUUCCUGAGGCUGCUGGAGCUGCAGUGGAUCCGUGGUGGGACUGGAGCCUUUGGAGGAGCAGGAGCUGAGCUGGAGCUGGGGCUCCAGGCUGGCUCAUCCCGGCCUGGGGGGGCUCAGGAGGAUCCUGGUGCCACAGCUGGGGCAUCCCAGGGGAUCCCAGGGCGGGAAUGGGGGGAAGCCAAACCCAGCAUGGGGAGUGUCACCCUCAGAGACAAUUAAACUGCAUUUAAUUAAUUUAAUAAACCCCGUUGGC
Molecule: RNA transcript, 1859 nt
Organism: Melospiza georgiana
Lineage: Eukaryota; Metazoa; Chordata; Aves; Passeriformes; Passerellidae
Exons: 5
Source: RefSeq, a predicted model, not a curated record